CGCGUAGGCGGCUUGGUAAGGUAAAUGUGAAAGCCCGGGGCUUAACCCCGGAAGUGCAUUUAAAACUGCCUGGCUUGAGUAUGGGAGAGGGAAGUGGAAUUCCUGGUGUAGAGGUGAAAUUCGUAGAUAUCAGGAGGAACACCGGUGGCGAAGGCGACUUCCUGGACCAAUACUGACGCUGAGGCGCGAAGGCGUGGGUAGCAAACAGGAUUAGAUACCCUGGUAGUCC
RNAcentral lists this ribosomal RNA (229 nucleotides) under uncultured bacterium. Its description in RNAcentral is "partial 16S ribosomal RNA". It matches the Rfam family "Bacterial small subunit ribosomal RNA", at positions 568 to 796 of the family's 1533-position model. The record is from RNAcentral.